AACAGGUAUUCUUAAGCAUGUACUUAGUUUAACCUCUCUUGGAAAAACUACCAUUUAACAAAAACCUAGCCAAUCAACAUGUGAGUCAAAAUAAAAUACAGAGGAAUGGAGAAGCCAGAGUAAAAGGAUUGAUUGACUGUGCUGAAAACCUAAGGUGGGCACAGGUGGCCCAGAGCAUGAGAGGAGGCCCGUUUCCCAGCUGACUCCAGCAGGGCCCAGGCGUGCUCAGCUGCUCUCCCUAGCCCACAGAAAGAGUCUAUGUUUGUUCUCCUCUCCUAUUAAAAUGGCAGUAAACAUAUCAAUUCUGAACAGUACACCAAAAUAGGUUUCCUGGAGCUUACGGCACUGGCCUGUGACUCUCAGAACAUGAAACAAACCUGUUGAAGGCCCACAGAUCAUUUGCAUGGAAAAUGUUUAUUAAGAAUUUCCAGGAACUGGGGCACCUGUGUGGCUCAGUCAGCUAAGCAUCUG
Long non-coding RNA from Neomonachus schauinslandi (Hawaiian monk seal), 471 nucleotides. RefSeq lists it as uncharacterized. Lineage: Eukaryota; Metazoa; Chordata; Mammalia; Carnivora; Phocidae. The record is from RefSeq and is a predicted model, not a curated record. The transcript has 3 exons.